GGCGGGAACCUGCGGAAGGAUCAUUG
RNAcentral lists this ribosomal RNA (26 nucleotides) under Scorpidium cossonii. Its description in RNAcentral is "partial 18S ribosomal RNA". Lineage: Eukaryota; Viridiplantae; Streptophyta; Bryopsida; Hypnales; Amblystegiaceae. The record is from RNAcentral.